GUACACAAAAAUGCACAUAUUGUGAGCUCGAUGAGUAGGGCGGGACACGUGGUAUCCUGUCUGAAUAUGGGGGGACCAUCCUCCAAGGCUAAAUACUCCUGACUGACCGAUAGUGAACCAGUACCGUGAGGGAAAGGCGAAAAGAACCCCGGCGAGGGGAGUGAAAAAGAACCUGAAACCGUGUACGUACAAGCAGUGGGAGCCUCUUUAUGGGGUGACUGCGUACCUUUUGUAUAAUGGGUCAGCGACUUAUAUUCUGUAGCAAGGUUAACCGAAUAGGGGAGCCGAAGGGAAACCGAGUCUUAACUGGGCGUUAAGUUGCAGGGUAUAGACCCGAAACCCGGUGAUCUAGCCAUGGGCAGGUUGAAGGUUGGGUAACACUAACUGGAGGACCGAACCGACUAAUGUUGAAAAAUUAGCGGAUGACUUGUGGCUGGGGGUGAAAGGCCAAUCAAACCGGGAGAUAGCUGGUUCUCCCCGAAAGCUAUUUAGGUAGCGCCUCGUGAAUUCAUCUCCGGGGGUAGAGCACUGUUUCGGCAAGGGGGUCAUCCCGACUUACCAACCCGAUGCAAACUGCGAAUACCGGAGAAUGUUAUCACGGGAGACACACGGCGGGUGCUAACGUCCGUCGUGAAGAGGGAAACAACCCAGACCGCCAGCUAAGGUCCCAAAGUCAUGGUUAAGUGGGAAACGAUGUGGGAAGGCCCAGACAGCCAGGAUGUUGGCUUAGAAGCAGCCAUCAUUUAAAGAAAGCGUAAUAGCUCACUGGUCGAGUCGGCCUGCGCGGAAGAUGUAACGGGGCUAAACCAUGCACCGAAGCUGCGGCAGCGACACUAUGUGUUGUUGGGUAGGGGAGCGUUCUGUAAGCCUGUGAAGGUGGCCUGUGAGGGUUGCUGGAGGUAUCAGAAGUGCGAAUGCUGACAUAAGUAACGAUAAAGCGGGUGAAAAGCCCGCUCGCCGGAAGACCAAGGGUUCCUGUCCAACGUUAAUCGGGGCAGGGUGAGUCGACCCCUAAGGCGAGGCCGAAAGGCGUAGUCGAUGGGAAACAGGUUAAUAUUCCUGUACUUGGUGUUACUGCGAAGGGGGGACGGAGAAGGCUAUGUUGGCCGGGCGACGGUUGUCCCGGUUUAAGCGUGUAGGCUGGUUUUCCAGGCAAAUCCGGAAAACCAAGGCUGAGGCGUGAUGACGAGGCACUACGGUGCUGAAGCGACAAAUGCCCUGCUUCCAGGAAAAGCCUCUAAGCAUCAGGUAACAUCAAAUCGUACCCCAAACCGACACAGGUGGUCAGGUAGAGAAUACCAAGGCGCUUGAGAGAACUCGGGUGAAGGAACUAGGCAAAAUGGUGCCGUAACUUCGGGAGAAGGCACGCUGAUAUGUAGGUGAAGCGACUUGCUCGUGGAGCUGAAAUCAGUCGAAGAUACCAGCUGGCUGCAACUGUUUAUUAAAAACACAGCACUGUGCAAACACGAAAGUGGACGUAUACGGUGUGACGCCUGCCCGGUGCCGGAAGGUUAAUUGAUGGGGUUAGCGGUAACGCGAAGCUCUUGAUCGAAGCCCCGGUAAACGGCGGCCGUAACUAUAACGGUCCUAAGGUAGCGAAAUUCCUUGUCGGGUAAGUUCCGACCUGCACGAAUGGCGUAAUGAUGGCCAGGCUGUCUCCACCCGAGACUCAGUGAAAUUGAACUCGCUGUGAAGAUGCAGUGUACCCGCGGCAAGACGGAAAGACCCCGUGAACCUUUACUAUAGCUUGACACUGAACAUUGAGCCUUGAUGUGUAGGAUAGGUGGGAGGCUUUGAAGUGUGGACGCCAGUCUGCAUGGAGCCGACCUUGAAAUACCACCCUUUAAUGUUUGAUGUUCUAACGUUGGCCCGUAAUCCGGGUUGCGGACAGUGUCUGGUGGGUAGUUUGACUGGGGCGGUCUCCUCCUAAAGAGUAACGGAGGAGCACGAAGGUUGGCUAAUCCUGGUCGGACAUCAGGAGGUUAGUGCAAUGGCAUAAGCCAGCUUGACUGCGAGCGUGACGGCGCGAGCAGGUGCGAAAGCAGGUCAUAGUGAUCCGGUGGUUCUGAAUGGAAGGGCCAUCGCUCAACGGAUAAAAGGUACUCCGGGGAUAACAGGCUGAUACCGCCCAAGAGUUCAUAUCGACGGCGGUGUUUGGCACCUCGAUGUCGGCUCAUCACAUCCUGGGGCUGAAGUAGGUCCCAAGGGUAUGGCUGUUCGCCAUUUAAAGUGGUACGCGAGCUGGGUUUAGAACGUCGUGAGACAGUUCGGUCCCUAUCUGCCGUGGGCGCUGGAGAACUGAGGGGGGCUGCUCCUAGUACGAGAGGACCGGAGUGGACGCAUCACUGGUGUUCGGGUUGUCAUGCCAAUGGCACUGCCCGGUAGCUAAAUGCGGAAGAGAUAAGUGCUGAAAGCAUCUAAGCACGAAACUUGCCCCGAGAUGAGUUCUCCCUGAC
This 2456-nucleotide ribosomal RNA is filed under the name Escherichia coli. Its description in RNAcentral is "partial 23S ribosomal RNA". It matches the Rfam family "Bacterial large subunit ribosomal RNA", at positions 375 to 2819 of the family's 2925-position model. Lineage: Bacteria; Pseudomonadati; Pseudomonadota; Gammaproteobacteria; Enterobacterales; Enterobacteriaceae. The record is from RNAcentral.